This 229-nucleotide ribosomal RNA is filed under the name uncultured bacterium. RNAcentral's name for it is "partial 16S ribosomal RNA". It matches the Rfam family "Bacterial small subunit ribosomal RNA", at positions 104 to 334 of the family's 1533-position model. The record is from RNAcentral.
CGGGGUGAGUAAUGUCUGGGAAACUGCCUGAUGGAGGGGGAUAACUACUGGAAACGGUAGCUAAUACCGCAUAACGUCGCAAGACCAAAGAGGGGGACCUUCGGGCCUCUUGCCAUCGGAUGUGCCCAGAUGGGAUUAGCUAGUAGGUGGGGUAACGGCUCACCUAGGCGACGAUCCCUAGCUGGUCUGAGAGGAUGACCAGCCACACUGGAACUGAGACAUGGUCCAG